UCGUUCGUAAUGCAUUAGCAUCCGCAAUCGAACUUCGGAUUGACUUGGCGUAAUAGACUAUUCGCUGAGGAAUUCUAAUCUUCGGAUUAGAGCCGGGUUAGGUUAAAGGAAGCUUCUAAUCAGAAUGUCUACAUUUUAAGAUUAGAUCUCAAAUCAGGUAGGACUACCCGCUGAACUUAAGCAUAUCAAUAAGCGGAGGAAAAGAAACUAACAAGGAUUCCCCUAGUAGCGGCGAGCGAAGCGGGAAGAGCUCAAAUUUAUAAUCUGGCACCUUCGGUGUCCGAGUUGUAAUCUCUAGAAAUGUUUUCCGCGCUGGACCGCACACAAGUCUGUUGGAAUACAGCGGCAUAGUGGUGAGACCCCCGUAUAUGGUGCGGAUGCCCAGCGCUUUGUGAUACAUUUUCGAAGAGUCGAGUUGUUUGGGAAUGCAGCUCAAAUUGGGUGGUAAAUUCCAUCUAAAGCUAAAUAUUGGCGAGAGACCGAUAGCGAACAAGUACCGUGAGGGAAAGAUGAAAAGCACUUUGGAAAGAGAGUUAACAGUACGUGAAAUUGUUGGAAGGGAAACGCUUGAAGUCAGACUUGCUUGCCGAGCAAUCGGUUUGCAGGCCAGCAUCAGUUUUCCGGGAUGGAUAAUGGUAGAGAGAAGGUAGCAGUUUCGGCUGUGUUAUAGCUCUCUACUGGAUACAUCUUGGGGGACUGAGGAACGCAGUGUGCCUUACGGCGGGGGUUUCGACCUCUUCACACUUAGGAUGCUGGUGGAAUGGCUUUAAACGACCCGUCUUGAAACACGGACCAAGGAGUCUAACAUGCUUGCGAGUAUUUGGGUGUCAAACCCGGAUGCGUAAUGAA
Molecule: ribosomal RNA, 849 nt
Filed under: Rhodotorula dairenensis
Lineage: Eukaryota; Fungi; Basidiomycota; Microbotryomycetes; Sporidiobolales; Sporidiobolaceae
Description: LSU rRNA
Rfam family: Eukaryotic large subunit ribosomal RNA (bases 144-849)
Source: RNAcentral